Molecule: long non-coding RNA, 224 nt
Filed under: Elaeis guineensis (African oil palm)
Lineage: Eukaryota; Viridiplantae; Streptophyta; Magnoliopsida; Arecales; Arecaceae
Description: long non-coding RNA (EGUI_LNC025353)
Source: RNAcentral
GAUCCGACAGUUCAGGGACUUGAUUUGGCUUGUUUAGGAGACCUAAACCUAAUCUAAUUAGGUUAAACCCUUGUUUAAGGCCUUUAAAUGGCCUGUGCCUCAACAGAGAGCUGCGGUGAUUGGUUUUUUGCAGAGGAAGCCACGCGAAACCUGAGAAGAGAAAGAGAGAGAGGUGUGAGGCCACUGUGAGAGAAGGAGCAGGGCUCCUGGACAGCGGACGUCGG